This 253-nucleotide ribosomal RNA is filed under the name uncultured bacterium. Its description in RNAcentral is "partial 16S ribosomal RNA". It matches the Rfam family "Bacterial small subunit ribosomal RNA", at positions 524 to 776 of the family's 1533-position model. The record is from RNAcentral.
UACGAAGGGGGCUAGCGUUGCUCGGAAUCACUGGGCGUAAAGGGUGCGUAGGCGGGUCUUUAAGUCAGGGGUGAAAUCCUGGAGCUCAACUCCAGAACUGCCUUUGAUACUGAAGAUCUUGAGUUCGGGAGAGGUGAGUGGAACUGCGAGUGUAGAGGUGAAAUUCGUAGAUAUUCGCAAGAACACCGGUAGCGAAGGCGGCCCACUGGCUCGACACUGACGCUGAGGUGCGAAAGCGUGGGGAGCAAACAGG